This 253-nucleotide ribosomal RNA is filed under the name uncultured bacterium. RNAcentral describes it as "partial 16S ribosomal RNA". It matches the Rfam family "Bacterial small subunit ribosomal RNA", at positions 524 to 776 of the family's 1533-position model. The record is from RNAcentral.
UACGUAGGUGGCAAGCGUUGUCCGGAUUUACUGGGCGUAAAGAGCGCGCAGGCGGUCGUUCAAGUCGCGUGUGAAAGCCCCCGGCUCAACUGGGGAGGGUCACGCGAUACUGAUCGACUCGAAGGCAGGAGAGGGUAGUGGAAUUCCCGGUGUAGUGGUGAAAUGCGUAGAUAUCGGGAGGAACACCAGUGGCGAAGGCGACUACCUGGCCUGUUCUUGACGCUGAGGCGCGAGAGCUAGGGGAGCAAACGGG